AUUAUUAUUAUUAUUAUUAUUAUUAUUAUAAUUAGUGCUAUAAAGAUGUUGACAUUUAUUAUUCACCCUGUAUGUUGAAAAAAACCUAAAUUAUUGUCCCAUAAUGCAAUAUUCAGAAUGGAGACAAAGUAACCCAAUUAUUAUUAUUAUUUUAUAUGUAAUAAUUAUAACAAUAUUGUAAGGUAUACAAGUGGUAUUACAGUCACAAUCUGUCUCUUCGUUGUUUUUUUUGUUUACAGGCCUUCUAUACAGUAAGACUUGGGUCAUUUUGAUUGGGUUUUUAAGAAGCAGGGAGUUCCUAAGAAAAGCUGGUGUUUGGUGUUUAGACCUUUUUGUUUCUGUUGAUCCGUCAGUUCUGUUUGAGCAGAAGAAAGUCCCUCUAGUAGCUUUAACUACAGAUCUUCAAAUAAUGGCGAACACUUUACACUAAUGUUCCUUAGGACAAAUGUACUGAGUAUUUCAAUUGCAUGAGGAAUACGUUAACACUGUUUACUAGUAGUGAGUGAGAGUGUUUCACUCUGACCACGUUUUGUUUGUUGACCACCGAGUGGUCUUGGUGAUCGAAAAGCAUUCGAUAUUGUCACUUUUUGAAUGCCGUAUCUGUGUUCCCUUAGGCACUGUGUGCAAGAGCUGGAUCAAACUUGGUAUAAAAUUAUAUAUUGUGCCUGGUGUGCAUCUUUUGCUUGAGAGGCUGCUGUGGCAUUCCCCACAACUUGAUUUCAAUACAUGAUGAUGCGGAAAGCCUGCACAACAGUUUGAAAACUUCCUCGGCUCCGGUUGGCUGGCUUGUCACACACAGACUCUGGCAUCACUCCAAUUCCUGCUCUGUCUAACCUGCAGCAACACAACCAUGAGACAUGAGUGAAGGGGUCUCGCUGUGAGGUU
This is a long non-coding RNA of Ictalurus punctatus (channel catfish), 885 nucleotides long. The record is from Ensembl. NCBI's taxonomy places the organism in Eukaryota, Metazoa, Chordata, Actinopteri, Siluriformes, Ictaluridae.